RNAcentral lists this ribosomal RNA (762 nucleotides) under Triticum aestivum (bread wheat). RNAcentral's name for it is "partial small subunit ribosomal RNA". The record is from RNAcentral. Lineage: Eukaryota; Viridiplantae; Streptophyta; Magnoliopsida; Poales; Poaceae.
AUGGCUGCCAACUCGUUCUCGGCGCCGGCGCAGGCGGUGAAGGGCGCGGCGAAAACGUUGGCUCACCGCCGCCAGGCCGUGGUUGGGUUCCUGUUUGCUCUCAUCGUCAUCCUCGUGCUCCACACCACCGUGGUGUUUGGCCCGUCCCGGCCCGCGAAUGACAUUGUCGUUCUGCAGUCCACAUCGGGCGAGCAAAAUGCCAGGGCCUCUUCUCCUCCAGCGUUGUUGGCACCUAACAAUUCUAUUCAAGAUAACGGGCAGAAGGACGAUGUAGCCAAGAAUGAUAGGGAAACAAGGGGCCAGUUAGGCCAAACAGGAAAAAAUGAUGCUAGUGACGACAAGACGCAGGAAGAGCUCAUUCGCCAAGAACUCGAUCGAGACGUCAAACGUGGCCGCGUGCAUGCAGGUGCUCCGCGCAAGCCCAUCUGCGACCUCUCUGAUCCUAGGUACGACAUCUGCGAGAUCACCGGAGACGCCCGUGCCAUCGGCGCCAACCGUACCGUCCUCUAUGUCCCGCCAGCCGACGAGCGCGGCACCGACGGCCCGGAGUGGGCCAUCAAGGACCAGUCCCGCAAGCAACUGGGGGACAUCAAGGAGGUGAAUGUCAAGACCCUGAGCGCCGCCCAGUCCUUGGUGGCACCGGAGUGCACCUCUCGGCACACUGUCCCGGCCGUCGUGUUCGCCAUGAAUGGGAUCAUAGGCAACCCAUGGCACGACUUGAGCGAUCUCCUGAUCCCGCUCUUCAUCACCACCCGCGCCUAA